AUACGGAGGGUCCAAGCGUUAUCCGGAAUCAUUGGGUUUAAAGGGUCCGCAGGCGGUCAAUUAAGUCAGAGGUGAAAGCCCAUCGCUCAACGAUGGAACUGCCUUUGAUACUGGUUGACUUGAGUUAUACGGAAGUAGAUAGAAUAAGUAGUGUAGCGGUGAAAUGCAUAGAUAUUACUUAGAAUACCGAUUGCGAAGGCAGUCUACUACGUAUAUACUGACGCUGAGGGACGAAAGCGAGGGGAGCGAACAGGAUUAGAAACCCGAGUAGUCC
RNAcentral lists this ribosomal RNA (274 nucleotides) under uncultured bacterium. RNAcentral describes it as "partial 16S ribosomal RNA". It matches the Rfam family "Bacterial small subunit ribosomal RNA", at positions 523 to 796 of the family's 1533-position model. The record is from RNAcentral.